CUAUCCCCAGCUCCCUGGACGAGGCUCCUUCUGGCCCUUUCUAGAAAGUUAUUCUCUUGGUUCUGCCUCCCUGGUGCCUCCUCUCAUCUCUCGCUGUCUUCCUCCUCCCUUCCUAGGAUCUGACCUGUGUCCCCAGUCAGACAAUGUCAGACGCCUUUAGGACCCCAGGUGGUGAUUCAGUUCUGUGCACACCCUUCUGUGCCUGCAGCGACAGGUGUCCUGCCAGUGAAUGUCACACCUCAGACUCCCGAGAGAUGGUCCUGCACCGGGAAAUGAAGUUAUCAACUUGGCAACUUAUUUUAUUACCAGUGUUCUUGCUGGAGUCCCAGGAUCUCAGCGCUUCCCCACACCUGGCUCCGUGUUCAGGCCAGCUUCUGAGCUAGGGGUCCUGUCUGCUCUCCUCCCUCUCCUCCCCUCUCUCCUCUCUGCGUGCAUGACAGCAUCACUCUCUUUUCCCUUCUUUCCCUCUUUCCUCCCUGUGUCUGUUUGUCUCUCUCUCUCCCUCCUCCCUCCAGGUUAAUCAGAGAGCUAUGAAUCAGACAGAUGUAAGCGAGAGGCUCCCUGUGUCCACCCUUAGGCCCAGAGCGGGAGUGGGGGGCUCCCCCAUCUCUCCCCAGCCCACUGCAGAGCAGACCUCCCCGCAAUUGUAGCCAAUCACAAAAUAAGCCCCUGGUUGUUUCCAAGCGAGCUCUGCACAGCAUUCCAUUAUGACAUUCUGAAAACCUGGUUACUUAUAAAGCAAUUUGCUCCUGCGGGC
Molecule: long non-coding RNA, 757 nt
Filed under: Capra hircus (goat)
Lineage: Eukaryota; Metazoa; Chordata; Mammalia; Artiodactyla; Bovidae
Description: lncRNA (ENSCHIG00000001007.1)
Source: RNAcentral